CUCAAGAACCAUUGCUGGGGAACUAAUGCAGUUAUUUGAUGGGCCAAGGCACAGCUCAGCACUCUUGGGCUAAAUACUGUAACCCUGGAGGAUUGGAUCAGACCCAUGGCUUUGUUCUCUGGCUUCUUGAGGUUAAGCAUCUGCUGUGGUGGAAGGGCCGAGGUGUUCCUGUCUUCUGGCAAAAGCACUACAACACGGGGUGACAGCAAAAGCACUCGAUCUGGGUGAUGGCAGUGGGAUCAGCAUGUGUACAUUAGCAGCAGCAAGGUGGUGGUGGUAUCCACACAUGCACAUGCCAGAUAUAUAAUUUGUAAGCUAUAAAUGUACUUAACACCAGAGACCCAAAAUAUGUGAAGAAAAGACACAUAAUUGAAGAGAGAAAUAGACAAUUAGAUAUAAUUCAAUACUCCACAUUCAAUAGCGAAUAGAAUAACUAGGCAGAUCAAUAACAAAAUAGAAUACAUGAAUAACACAACAACAGUAUAACAUAAUGAAACCUACUAUACACAUAAAGAACACUCCACACAACAACCGAGAAUACACAUUAUUCUCAAGUGUAUGUGGAACUUUCUCCAGGAUAUACUGUAUGAUAGGUUAUAAAACAUACCUCAAGGGUUUUUUUUAAUGAUAUAAUACAAAAUGCUUUCUCAGACUACAAUGAAAGAAAGUUAGAAAGUGAUAAUAGGAGAAAAUUUUGGAAAUUCACAAUUAUGUGGAAAUUUAUAAGAUAAUUGGUCAAAGAGGAAGUCACAAUGGAAGUCAGAAAACACCUUGGGAAAAAUGAAUACCGAAUCACAACACACUAAAAUUUGGGGGAUGCAGCUAAAGCAGUGCUUAGAGGGAAAUGUAUUUGUAUCUGGCUAUCUUAAAGGAAAUAAAUAUUUCAAAUCAACACUAUAAGUUUUCACCUUAUAAAAUUAGAAAAAGUAGAGCUAACCACAUCCAAAAUAAAUGAAAGGAAAUAGUGUACAUUAGAACAAAAAAUGAAAUAAAGAAUAGAAAAUUCAAUAAAGUUAUCAAUAAAACCAAAAGUUACUUCUUAGAAAAUAUAAACCUUUAAUUGACUGAUAGAGAGAAAAACACACAUAUUUGAACAAAUAGUAUAACUUGAUUGCAGAUAUAUGUAUCGCUGUAUCUUUGGUGGUAAGUUGAGGCAGUAUAUGUCUGAUCACUCUGGAUAUCUGUGUAAAAUAAAAUGCUAGGUGGAGAUGAGAAUGAUAUAUGGAUUUUUUUAUCAGUAUAAAACUUCCUUAGUAUGUACAUGGAGAAAUCAGGUAUUUGAGUUUUUCCCAAAGUUCUCUCUCUCUUUUUCUUUCUAUAAGGUGAGAUAAAAGAAGUGAUGGAGUAGGCUGAGCAUGGUGGUUCACCCCUGUAAUCCCAACACUGUGGGAGGCUGAGGUGGGCAGAUCAUGAGGUCAAGAGAUUGAGACCAUCCUGUCCAACAUGGUGAAACCCCUUCUCUACUAAAAAUACAAAAAUUAGCUGUGCAUGGUGGCGUGCCCCUGUAGUCCCAGCUACUCAGGUAGCUGAGGCAGGAGAAUCACUUGAAUCCGGAAGGUGGAGGUUGCAGUGAGCCGAGAUCACUGUCACUGCACUCCAGCCUGGCGACAGAGCGAGACUCCGUCAAAAAAAAAAAAAAAAAAAAGGAGUGAUGGAGUGUUGUUAUUAAGAAAGUUAGGCUUCAGGAUAUUGAUUAACUUGUGUAAGGAGAAAUAGCUAAUAAGUAACAGAGCUAACAUGUAAAUCUAGAGACCAUCUGACAAAAAGAAAAAUUCCAUAAACAUUUUGCCACUAUUGCUCCCACAGGAAAAGUGACAUGGCUUAACAUGACAGCUACUGCUCAAAUUUCAUCAUAUUUCUUGCUGUAUUUCCAAACACAGAUUACUUACUUUGUGGACUCCACCUGCUAUCUCAUAAAGACACUUAAGCAGCAAUGUGGAGAGGUACACCUGAAAAGUAACGGAAUCCUUACGUCAGUAAUCUGCACUAAUUUGCCAGGACAAGAACCCAGAACCCACUGAGCUGCGGGCAGUGGGAAUAAAUGGGCUGUAACACACUGCCACUUGCCAGACUAUGGAAGAAAGAGAGCUGUAACAUGCUCCUGCUUGCUGAGCUGCAGGAGUGAAGAACUGCAACAUCUAACAUCUCAGACCUUGGGACUCCUCAGGGGAAAACAAAAAUAAUAGCAGGAAGAACCUCACCAUCAGCUCAGGGGAACAGAUGGAGUGAAAAUGCUAGUGCAUCCUGUUAUUAGCCGACCUUGAAUCAAGUUAUACACCCAAUCAAUGGAAAAAGAGGAAGAGAACAAAAGAAGCGGAGAUUGCUAUAAAAGCCUCUAGGUAACUUGGAAAUGUAGCAUGAUUCAAACCUAUUUUAUACUUUUUCUAGAUAGUCCUUAGGGCCAUAAAAGCACAUUUUUGAAAUACACCAACUUAGAAAAUGAACAGAUAUGUUCCUGCACAUUGUACAGCUGCACUUACUCCCCUCCACAUGUAUACAUAUACACACAGAAACACACACACAUAUCUGCUUAAAUAUUAGGAAAAAUAUUAUAUCAAAAACAAUGAAAUACAAGGUCAUUGAAGCCCCAUGUAAAACUCUCAUGUUGCUACAUGAGGACAUUUAAGGACAGUUAACUUGGCACUCACUUAGAUUCUUCACAAAUGAAGUUUACUUUUGGAUGAAUGGGAUCAUUAAAAAAAUACUAACUGCAACAUGGUGGCAAUUAAAAAUAAAGUAACUGUGCAAACAUGAGGCAAGCUUUCAGCGCAUCUUCUACCAUGACAUUAUUAAUAGUAUGAUGUAAUACACAGGAAGAGUAAUUUCUCUAAGAUGCACAAGUGUCAAAAGUACAUCAAGUACAAAGAGCAUAAAGAUCUAUUGCUAAAAAACUAGGUAAGUUGAUACUAAAUAUCCAGAAUACAGAUAGAAAGCUGAUUGGCGAGUUCCAGGGGCUGGUGGAAGAGAGGGAGUGACUGCUUAAUAGGUAACAGGUUUUCUUCUGGAGUGAUGAAAAUGUUUUAGAAAAGAUAAAGAAGGGACCGGGCGCGGUGGCUCAUGCCUGUAAUCCUGCACUUUGGGAGGCCGAGGCGGGUGGAUCACGAGGUCAGGAGAUCGAAACCAUCCCGGCUAACGUGGUGAAACCCCGUCUCUACCAGAAAUACAAAAAAUUAGCCAGGCAUGGUGGCGGGUGCCUGUAGUCCCAGCUACUCGGGAGGCUUAGACAGGAGAAUGGCAUGAACCUGGGAGGCAGAGCUUGCAGUGAGCUGAGAUGGGCCACUGCACUCCAGCCUGGGCGACAGAGCGAGACUCAGUCUCAAAAAAAAAAAAAAAAAAGGAUAAAAAGAUAAAGAAGGGAAUGAUGGUACAAUAUAAUGAAUAUACUAAAUGUCACUGAAUUGUGGACUUUAAACUGGUUAAUUUUAGGUGAUAAAAUUUUUUUUCAAUAAAAUAUAAGUAUAAUAUAAAACAUAUAUAUGAAAUCGGUUGCAGCAGAGGCUACUUUUAGUUUAUAAAAAUAAUGUUUCUCUUGAUGUCCCCUUAAAUUACAUACAUAGCUGUACCUGUAAAACCCUGUAGGCAACCUAUUAACCUUUGAAUUAGUAUCUUUAUCUCCCCAUUAUUCUUCUCACCCAAUAAGUUCUCAAGUCUGGUUGAGUCUAACAAUGCACCAAAGGUAGAAUGCUUGCUCUUUAAUUUAAUACUCCAUCAGUCUGAAUUCAACUCCUCCAAUUUAGUGACUGGUGAAGCAAGAGAUUGAGAUGGGAGAGGAAGACCAUCUUGCAUUGCCUUAUUUUCCUUAGGUAUCCAAGCUCUCUACCUUUGCCCUUGCCUACUCCUUACUUGUCCAGUAAUCCUGUAAUGAUAAUAUAAUGAAUUAUUACAUGGUACAGGAAAUAAAAUGAAAUACUUUCAAAGAAUGUUUUUCUUCAUAACAAUCCAUAGAAAAAAAUAAAAUCUUUAUAAAAGAACACGUGUUCUCAAAAUCCAGAAGAAAGGAAUGGCAUUUAAUCUCAUCUAGUACAGUUUUUGAGCUCAUCUGUGUAGAAUUUAUAUAAUGGCCUCUUAAGGAUGUUUAGAUUUUAUAAUAGCUGAAACAAGGCCAUGUAAUUGUUUUGUCUUGAGAAUAAACAAACAAAUGUACAUGAAAACUAAAUGAAGAAAAACAUCAACGCAAAUAAUACAUUGUAUAGAAUGUUAGAGCCAAUGAGAUCUGAGAGACUAUUAAAAUCUAAACAAAUUGUUAAAAGGAAUCAUCUGACAUCCUUUAUCAAUCUGGUGGUAAGACAGCCUGAAGUAAAAAUAAUUAUUUUCUUAUUUCAGUAGAGCGCUUCCCUUACCUGAACAAUAAUCUAUUACAGUUCUGCAGGAAUUUAUGGUUUGCAAAGUAAUGCACUAACCCUGCCACCUUGGAAUUUAUGACAACUUUUGAGUCAGUCAUGACCAAUAUUGCAAAGAUGAACAAGGUGAAGCAAAUCUGACUUUUUUCUCCAUGCACAAUUUUUGAGAACUAACAAAUGAAUAAAAAAUCUCAGAUAAAUUAAGUUGUUUGCAAGACAUCAUAUAACUAGUAAAUGGUACACAUUUUAAUUUAGGUUUUCUGUCUUCAAUUGCAUACCUUUCACAACACCAUGCCCACUAUUGACACAGGUAGGGAUAUUUUCCCCCAAUGCUUAUCAUGUCUCAUUAUUUGAUGGGAUCAUUUUAUGACAGUGAUGAGGCUUUAAGUGAAUAUUUUGUUUAAUCAGAAAAAACUUUAAAUCAGACCCAAACCUGACUUUACCAUCAUUAGCACUAAAUAAUUAAUUAGCUGAAACUUCAUCUAAAAGUUAGCUGAAAAUUAGCUGAAAAUUAGCUGAAAAUUCAGCUAGAACUUUUUGCUUAAUUACUUAUAAUACAUGAAUUUAUUAGAAUAUAAAUAAUGAAUAUCUAUAAAAAGGAAAGAAGCUUGCAGUUAUUUCUUGUCAACAAAUUACAGUAUAUUUUAAUUAUAAGAAAUAUGAUGAGUAUUUAAUCCCUAUUUUUGAAAUGAGGAUGCUGAGAUUCACGGGUUUGUUGUGAAGUCUACAUAACAUAAUGGACAAAAGCACUCAUCACAUUAUCUGGCACAUGAAAUAAUAUAACUAUUUUCAAUGGAUGUUCUCAGUAUAGGUGCCAUUCUUGAGCAGAAAGAGUAUACAUUACACUCAAAGUUCUUAGACUACAUUUCAUCAAAGGCAAAACCAAAAAUCUGAAUUUUUCAUGAUUAAAAAUACAGUUAGUUUAUAAUAUAUUUCAGUAAAUUCAUACUCAGAUAAUUAAACUUACCUAAAUAUAUUUAAAAGAACUAAAGUAGAAAAACAUAAAUAGGAAAAAUCUAGUUAUACUAACCAAUAUAUUUUAUGUCAGUUUGAAAAGAUGGAAAAAAUGUGUACCACUAUUUGAAAAAAGUGUUACAUAAGAGUCUCAGAAAAAUAAAGUAUUUUCAACAGCAAAUUUGUUUUUUUUUAAUUAGGAAAUAUUACAAAACUCUUCCUAAUACACUACUUGAAAUAAUGAUAGACUAUAAAGUAAAUCAAAACUUAACAAAAUAUGUAGUACUAAAAAAAAAGAGGCAGUCUCAAAUUGUUCUUAUUUCUACUUAAAACCUCUCAAAUUAUGUCAUAGGUAAGAUUAUUAAUAUCAAUACACUAUUAGCUACUUUAUAGACAUUUGAUUUUUAACUAUAUAUAUAUACACACAUGCACAUAUACAUACAUAUAUAUACACACAUAUGUACAUACAUACGUAUGUAUAUGUAUAUGAGGAAGGAAGAUUGUUUUAGGCUGGUAGCUCUAGACUGACCUGGGCAAUAUAGCAAGACCCCAUCUCUGCAAGAUAAAUAAAUAAAUAAAUAAAUAAAUAAAUAAAAUAUCUUACUGAUCCACAUCAUCUCCAACUAUUAUUAUUUUAAUUGUGCCAGUCAAAUGGCAAAAACACUGCAAAAAAUUUUGCAAAUUUACAAAUAAGUUUAUAGUUCAAUGAAAUUUCACCGAGUAAACACAUACAGAACCACCAAGCGGAUCAAAAAAUAGGUUCUUACAGCAGGAUAUAAAACACCCCUGCCUCUCAUUACUACCAUCCACUAAAAGAUAACUGUAUUCUGUUAUCAAACAUCAUUGAUUAUUUUUACUUAUUUCAAUAUUACAUUACAGAAAACAUACAGCGUGCAUAUUUUUAUCUGUUUUGUUCAACUGUAUGUUUGUCUUUCACUAGGUAUGAAUCAUUCUUACUAUUUCAUGUGUCAGGCAUCAUUUGUGCUUUAUGUUAUUUUAUAUGAUGACUAUUGGUUUGACUGUUGAGACAAAUUUGGGAGUUUUAGUUAUUGGCUACCAGAUAAGAAUUUAUGUUGGAUACAUACAUAUGAGGUGACUUGCUGGGUCUUGGGAAAUGAUGAUCCAGGUUUUAUAGAUAUUAUCAAAAGUUUUCCAAGAUGCUUGAGUAAUGUACUUUUCAUAGUAAUUUGAAGAAAUUCCUUAUAUAUAUUUGGAAUACUAGUCCUUUGUCAGAUACAUGCAUUGCAAAUAUCUGGUCCCUUAUUGUC
This 6562-nucleotide long non-coding RNA is filed under the name Homo sapiens (human). RNAcentral's name for it is "HSALNT0147878". Lineage: Eukaryota; Metazoa; Chordata; Mammalia; Primates; Hominidae. The record is from RNAcentral.